This is a non-coding RNA of Flavobacterium plurextorum, 88 nucleotides long. Lineage: Bacteria; Pseudomonadati; Bacteroidota; Flavobacteriia; Flavobacteriales; Flavobacteriaceae. The record is from Rfam.
CGCUAGCCCUGAUGGAAACGGCAUCCUUUUGUGGUAGUCCCGAAGCCUCGGGACGCCACAAAAGAUAUAGUGAACAGCAGGAUUAGCU